This 485-nucleotide ribosomal RNA is filed under the name uncultured bacterium. RNAcentral describes it as "partial 16S ribosomal RNA". It matches the Rfam family "Bacterial small subunit ribosomal RNA", at positions 28 to 523 of the family's 1533-position model. The record is from RNAcentral.
GACGAACGCUGGCGGCGUGCUUAACACAUGCAAGUCGAACGGUGAAAGCGGAGCUUGCUCCGCUGGAUCAGUGGCGAACGGGUGAGUAACACGUGGGCAACCUGCCCCUCACUUCGGGAUAACUCCGGGAAACCGGGGCUAAUACCGGAUAUGACCUCCUUUGGCAUCCUUGGAGGUGGAAAGUUUUUCGGUGAGGGAUGGGCCCGCAGCCUAUCAGCUUGUUGGUGAGGUAGUGGCUCACCAAGGCGACGACGGGUAGCCGGCCUGAGAGGGCGACCGGACACACUGGGACUGAGACACGGCCCAGACUCCUACGGGAGGCAGCAGUGGGAAAUAUUGCGCAAUGGGCGAAAGCCUGACGCAGCAACGCCGCGUGCGGGAUGACGGCCUUCGGGUUGUAAACCGCUUUCAGCAGGGAAGAAGCCGCAAGGUGACGGUACCUGCAGAAGAAGCACCGGCUAAGUACGUGCCAGCCGCCGCGGUAA